Molecule: ribosomal RNA, 523 nt
Filed under: uncultured bacterium
Lineage: Bacteria
Description: partial 16S ribosomal RNA
Rfam family: Bacterial small subunit ribosomal RNA
Source: RNAcentral
GACGAACGCUGGCGGCGUGCCUAAUACAUGCAAGUCGAACGAAGCUGUUUUAACUGGUGCUUGCACCGACUUAAACAACUGAGUGGCGAACGGGUGAAUAACACGUGGGUAACCUGCCCCAAAGCGGGGGAUAACAUUUGGAAACAGAUGCUAAUACCGCAUAACCACAGAAACCACAUGGUUUCUGUGUCAAAGAUGGUUUCGGCUAUCACUUAGGGAUGGACCCGCGGCGUAUUAGCUAGUUGGUAAGGUAAUGGCUUACCAAGGCAAUGAUACGUAGCCGAACUGAGAGGUUGAUCGGCACAUUGGGACUGAGACACGGCCCAAACUCCUACGGGAGGCAGCAGUAGGGAAUCUUCCACAAUGGACGAAAGUCUGAUGGAGCAACGCCGCGUGAGUGAAGAAGGUUUUCGGAUCGUAAAACUCUGUUGUCAGAGAAGAACGUGUGCGAGAGUAACUGUUCGUGCAGUGACGGUAUCUGGCCAGAAAGCCACGGCUAACUACGUGCCAGCCGCCGCAGUAA